Molecule: ribosomal RNA, 207 nt
Filed under: uncultured bacterium
Lineage: Bacteria
Description: partial 16S ribosomal RNA
Rfam family: Bacterial small subunit ribosomal RNA
Source: RNAcentral
GGCGUAGACGGUUUCUUAAGUCGGAUGUGAAAUCUCCUGACUCAAUUAGGAGAGGUCAUUCGAUACUAGGAGACUUGAGGGUAGCAGAAGAAAGCGGAACUCCAGGUGUAGCGGUGAUAUGCGUAGAUAUCUGGAGGAACACCAGUGGCGAAGGCGGCUUUCUAGGCUAUUCCUGACGUUGAGGCCCAAAAGCGUGGGGAGCGAAAC